This 433-nucleotide ribosomal RNA is filed under the name uncultured bacterium. RNAcentral's name for it is "partial 16S ribosomal RNA". It matches the Rfam family "Bacterial small subunit ribosomal RNA", at positions 29 to 507 of the family's 1533-position model. The record is from RNAcentral.
AACGAACGCUGGCGGCAUGCCUAACACAUGCCAGUCGAACGAUACCUUCGGGUCUAGUGGCGCACGGGUGCGUAACGCGUGGGAACCUGCCCUUAGGUUCGGAAUAACUCCCCGAAAGGGGUGCUAAUACCGGAUAAUGUCUUCGGACCAAAGAUUUAUCGCCUUUGGAUGGGCCCGCGUUUGAUUAGCUAGUUGGUAGGGUAAAAGCCUACCAAGGCGACGAUCCAUAGCUGGUCUGAGAGGAUGAUCAGCCACACUGGGACUGAGACACGGCCCAGACUACUACGGGAGGCAGCAGUGGGGAAUAUUGGACAAUGGGCGAAAGGAUGAUCCAGCAAUGCCGGGUGAGUGAUGAAGGCCUUAGGGUUGUAAAGCUAUUUUACCCGGGAUGAUAAUGACAGUACCGGGAGAAUAAGCUCCGGCUAACUCCGUG